This is a non-coding RNA of Pteropus alecto (black flying fox), 47 nucleotides long. The record is from Rfam. NCBI's taxonomy places the organism in Eukaryota, Metazoa, Chordata, Mammalia, Chiroptera, Pteropodidae.
CCAAAGGCUCUUUUCAGAGCCACCCCACACUUCACGGAAAUAGCUGG